UCCUUCGGGAGGCAGCAGUGGGGAAUAUUGCGCAAUGGGCGAAAGCCUGACGCAGCAACGCCGCGUGGGGGAUGAAGGUUUUCGGAUUGUAAACCCCUUUCGACCGGAACGAAUUUCCUUUUGGUAAAUGAUCAGGAGGAUCGACGGUACCGGGAGAAGAAGCCACGGCUAACUCUGUGCCAGCAGCCGCGGUA
Molecule: ribosomal RNA, 194 nt
Filed under: uncultured Nitrospira sp.
Lineage: Bacteria; Pseudomonadati; Nitrospirota; Nitrospiria; Nitrospirales; Nitrospiraceae
Description: partial 16S ribosomal RNA
Rfam family: Bacterial small subunit ribosomal RNA
Source: RNAcentral